GACGAACGCUGGCGGCGUGCUUAACACAUGCAAGUCGAACGGAAAGGCCCUGCUUUUGUGGGGUGCGCGAGUGGCGAGCGGGUGAGUAACACGUGAGUAACCUGCCCUUGACUUUGGGAUAACUUCAGGAAACUGGGGCUAAUACCGGAUAGGAGCUCCUGCUGCAUGGUGGGGGUUGGAAAGUUUCGGCGGUUGGGGAUGGACUCGCGGCUUAUCAGCUUGUUGGUGGGGUAGUGGCUUACCAAGGCUUUGACGGGUAGCCGGCCUGAGAGGGUGACCGGCCACAUUGGGACUGAGAUACGGCCCAGACUCCUACGGGAGGCAGCAGUGGGGAAUAUUGCACAAUGGGCGGAAGCCUGAUGCAGCAACGCCGCGUGCGGGAUGACGGCCUUCGGGUUGUAAACCGCUUUCGCCUGUGACGAAGCGUGAGUGACGGUAAUGGGUAAAGAAGCACCGGCUAACUACGUG
RNAcentral lists this ribosomal RNA (468 nucleotides) under uncultured bacterium. RNAcentral's name for it is "partial 16S ribosomal RNA". It matches the Rfam family "Bacterial small subunit ribosomal RNA", at positions 28 to 507 of the family's 1533-position model. The record is from RNAcentral.